RNAcentral lists this transfer RNA (73 nucleotides) under Ovis aries (sheep). It matches the Rfam family "tRNA". Rfam says of the family: Transfer RNA (tRNA) molecules are approximately 80 nucleotides in length. Their secondary structure includes four short double-helical elements and three loops (D, anti-codon, and T loops). Further hydrogen bonds mediate the characteristic L-shaped molecular structure. tRNAs have two regions of fundamental functional importance: the anti-codon, which is responsible for specific mRNA codon recognition, and the 3' end, to which the tRNAs corresponding amino acid is attached (by aminoacyl-tRNA synthetases). tRNAs cope with the degeneracy of the genetic code in two manners: having more than one tRNA (with a specific anti-codon) for a particular amino acid; and 'wobble' base-pairing, i.e. permitting non-standard base-pairing at the 3rd anti-codon position. The record is from Rfam by way of RNAcentral. Lineage: Eukaryota; Metazoa; Chordata; Mammalia; Artiodactyla; Bovidae.
UCCCUGGGGGUCCAGUGGUUCAGACUCUGCACUUUCACUGCCUAGGGCCCGGGUUCGAUUCCUGGUGAGGGAA